UUUUUAUCUUAUAAUCAGGAAUAGUAAAAACUGUAGUUCUUAGUUUUCUAUAGGAAUCUGUUAAUUAAAAAGUAGAAACUUAAUAAGUACUGCAGAUAUUCAAGUAUCAGGCUUAAAAGUAAAAUUUCAAGCAUAGUUGAGAAUAAGUGGAAGUCCUGCUGGCAGUAGCCUGGAAUUUUUAAAUGGGUCUUGGGUUUCUGAGUAAAGGUAGUAAGAUGAAGUAAUAUCUUAAAGAAAUGUUCAUUCUUUUUACAGAUUUAUAUCAGGUUCAACAUUCCGUGGGAUAAGAUGGUCAUUUUUAUUAACGUAAUAAAAUUAUAUGUAAAUACGAUGUUUUAUAUAUGCUUUUAUACAAUACAUAAUAUUGAGACUAGGAGGGAUUUUUCACCCUUGAAAACUUAUUCUAAAUUUUCAUAGUGUUAGAUGUUAGUGUUCGAAAUACUGUGUAGAUAGCAAUUCAAACUAGUUUGACUAUAUUCUUUAAUAUUAAGCAUGUGAUUCACUUUCAUAAGGAGUACAUAUUUUAGAGAUAACUGAAUUUAUCAUUUACUGAGGGGCUACCUACAGGGUUUUACAUUUCCGGCAACAUAUUGUGAUAAAUGUCAGUUGUUAUUACAGUUUGUCAUUCUGAGCUCAGCUUAAUAAAUGCAAC
Molecule: long non-coding RNA, 652 nt
Filed under: Marmota monax (woodchuck)
Lineage: Eukaryota; Metazoa; Chordata; Mammalia; Rodentia; Sciuridae
Source: RNAcentral